This is a non-coding RNA of Hydnum rufescens UP504, 84 nucleotides long. NCBI's taxonomy places the organism in Eukaryota, Fungi, Basidiomycota, Agaricomycetes, Cantharellales, Hydnaceae. The record is from the annotation of a GenBank genome assembly.
UCGUGUAUGGUCUAACGGCUAUGAUACCACUCUCUCAUCCGUUGAGUUCCAGUGGGGACCUGGGUUCGACUCCCAGUACGCGAA